This 20-nucleotide unclassified non-coding RNA is filed under the name Chlamydomonas reinhardtii. Its description in RNAcentral is "small RNA Cre_4095". The record is from RNAcentral. Lineage: Eukaryota; Viridiplantae; Chlorophyta; Chlorophyceae; Chlamydomonadales; Chlamydomonadaceae.
UUUAGCGCGGGCGAACUGCA